CUAGUUGCCGUGUUAAUCUUUCUUUCCGCGAUAUCCAACUUAUCUACGUGGGGGGUCAUUAGGCUCCAAGUAGAUCCGGAAAAUGUUGAUUCUCUCCUCUUCUUAUUGUGAUAUAAAAUGUUUUUUGUUUCAUUUCAUUUACAUUGGGAAAUAGAGAAACGAUCAUUGUGUUUUGUUAGUUUUAAAAACUUUUGAUAUAAUUGUAUUUUACAUUAUAAGCAGUCAACCGAUUGACAAACUAGAAUUAUUUGAAUUCCGUGUGUAAAGAGGUCGGGUUAAUUUCGAGUGUUAUCUGCAAUCUAGAUGUUUAUAAAUCAUUUCAGUCGUUGAUAUAAUAAUUAAAGGUCGACUGAACAUGAAUUAUAUUAUACAAUUUAAGGCGCAUUUCUGUUUAUGCACGUGAACCCAUCUAACGUUAUUGAUUGUUAUUUCGCAGUUAUAUAAAGUAGCAAAUUGUCGUUCCUGAAUAGGUGGCGCCGUGGUAGCCGAUCCUGUUCUUAAACUUCCGGUUUCUGCACUGCAACUAUACAGUUGCAUUUUUAAUUAACGAUGCCAAGUACUUGUUGUUGUGUACCUGGAUGUCAUUUAAGAGGAGGACAUGCAUUUCCAAAUGACUUAAAAAGAAGGAAAAGUUGGAUCAACACCAUGGCCCAUACGCAGAUUGGACGAGAACACGAUUUCUCAAUCAGCUGUUGUUUGCAAGGCACAUUUUACUGAAAAAGACUACGUGCAGGAAACUAUUCAUGAGCGCAAACCCUCCAUACAGAGACUUAAGUCUACUGCCAUUCCCAGCCUAUUUUCCUGGAUCAAGCAAGAGACUGAAUCGUCCGCAAAAAGAAAAAUCAGGGCAGUUUCCUGUGAAAACAAAAGAACUAAACUUGAUGAAUAUUGUAGUAGAAAUCUAGAGGAAAGUUUUAAUUGUAAAGUUGGUUUUCCUGAAGAAGUCAUUCAUACUGCAGCCAGGAUUUAUGACUGUCCACCACCAACUGCCGAGCUAAUGUUGAGCUUCACAGAUGGAAUUACGCAAACACCAUCAAUGCCUAUAUUUUCAGCAGAGAAUUUUGAAAUGAAGACAUGUGACACAGCCAUGCAUUUUUAUACCAGUUUAGAGUUGUAUACUAAAUUUUUAUUUGUUUUGACCACACUUGGUCCAGCAGCACAUUGUUUGAGAUACAUAUAUUUUCAAAUUGAUAGGGUGUCAUUUGAAAAUCAUUUUUUUUUAUGUCUAAACAGUGGCGUGAGGCUAACACUUGGCCGUUUAGUGGUUUAGUCAGGUAUUUUUCGCCAUCCAACUUCAAAUUAAAGUUUCCUACAACUUGGAUUAUUAUUGACAGCACAGAAUAUCCCGUGAUAAAACAUAAAGCUCCUAGAGCUCAGGCAACCUUUUCAUCAUAUAAAAACAGAAACACUGAAAAUACUUGUAUGUUCGACACCUGGUGGUUUAGUCAACUACAAAAAUGUAUGUCUCUAAUGCAUAUGUUGGUUGUACCAGUUACUGUGAAAUAGUUGAAAGAUGUAGAAUACAUGUGUAGUUCAAUUAUGUGAUCCAGGUGACAGUGUGAUGGCAGACAAAGGUUUAAAUGUGCAAGAUUUGUUUGCUCACUUUUUUCAAAAAAAGAAACAGAAUUAGUUCCAAAACUCUUAUACGGGAUAGAAAAGUCUCCAAUUAACACAUGCACAUAGAGCUAAUUAUUGGACUUGGCAAAACAUACAAAAUUCUAAUAAAUCCUAUGAAUGGAACUGAAACAAAAUUUUCAUCUGAAAUAACAUUUAGUUGUUUUAUGUUGUGUAAUUUUAGAACUUGUAUUGUGCCAAAGGAUGCAUAAAUAAAAGUGACGCAAUGAAG
Mytilus californianus (California mussel) is the source of this 1846-nucleotide long non-coding RNA. RefSeq lists it as uncharacterized. NCBI's taxonomy places the organism in Eukaryota, Metazoa, Mollusca, Bivalvia, Mytilida, Mytilidae. The transcript has 2 exons. The record is from RefSeq and is a predicted model, not a curated record.